AGAGUUUGAUCAUGGCUCAGAAUGAACGCUGGCGGCGUGCUUAACACAUGCAAGUCGAACGAUGAAGCCUAGCUUGCUAGGUGGAUUAGUGGCGCACGGGUGAGUAAUAUAUAGAUAAUGUGCCCCUCAGUCAGGGAUAGCCAUUGGAAACGAUGAUUAAUACUAGAUACUCCUUCUUAUUCUAAUGUAAGUUGGGAAAGUUUUUCGCUGAGGGAUCAGUCUAUAUCGCAUCAGUUAGUUGGUGGGGUAAUGGCCUACCAAGACAAUGACGCGUAGCGGGUUUGAGAGGAUGAUCCGCCACACUGGUACUGAGACACGGACCAGACUCCUACGGGAGGCAGCAGUGAGGAAUAUUGCACAAUGGGGGAAACCCUGAUGCAGCAACGCCGCGUGGAGGAUGACGCAUUUCGGUGUGUAAACUCCUUUUAUAUGUCAAGAAAAUGACGGUAGCAUAUGAAUAAGCACCGGCUAACUCCGUGCCAGCGGCCGCGGUAAUACGGAGGGUGCAAGCGUUAUUCGGAAUCACUGGGCGUAAAGGACGCGUAGGCGGGAUGCCAAGUCUGAUGUGAAAUCCUAUGGCUUAACCAUAGAACUGCAUUGGAAACUGGUAACCUAGAGUAUGGGAGGGGGAGAUGGAAUUAGUGGUGUAGGGGUAAAAUCCGUAGAUAUCACUAGGAAUACCGAAAGCGAAGGCGAUCUCCUGGAACAAUACUGACGCUAAGGCGUGAAAGCGUGGGGAGCAAACGGGAUUAGAUACCCCGGUAGUCCACGCCCU
This 775-nucleotide ribosomal RNA is filed under the name uncultured bacterium. Its description in RNAcentral is "bacterial SSU rRNA". It matches the Rfam family "Bacterial small subunit ribosomal RNA", at positions 8 to 803 of the family's 1533-position model. The record is from RNAcentral.